This 440-nucleotide ribosomal RNA is filed under the name uncultured bacterium. Its description in RNAcentral is "partial 16S ribosomal RNA". It matches the Rfam family "Bacterial small subunit ribosomal RNA", at positions 341 to 795 of the family's 1533-position model. The record is from RNAcentral.
CCGGGAGGCAGCAGCGGGGAAUAGUGGGCAAGGGGAGCAAGCCGGAUACAGCAACGCCGCGGGAAGGAAGAAGGCUUUCGGGUUGUAAACUGCUUUUCUCAGGGACGAAGAAAGUGACGGUACCUGAGGAAUAAGCCACGGCUAACUACGUGCCAGCAGCCGCGGUAAUACGUAGGUGGCAAGCGUUAUCCGGAUUUAUUGGGUGUAAAGGGCGUGUAGGCGGGAGCGCAAGUCAGAUGUGAAAACUCAGGGCUCAACCCUGAGCCUGCAUUUGAAACUGUGUUUCUUGAGUGCUGGAGAGGCAAUCGGAAUUCCGGGUGUAGCGGUGAAAUGCGUAGAGAUACGGAGGAACACCAGUGGCGAAGGCGGAUUGCUGGACAGUAACUGACGCUGAGGCGCGAAAGCGUGGGGAGCAAACAGGAUUAGAUACCCUUGUAGUC